GAUGAACGCUAGCGGCAGGCCUAAUACAUGCAAGUCGAGGGGCAGCGCGGUAGCAAUACUGGCGGCGACCGGCGCACGGGUGCGUAACACGUAUGCAACCUACCUUCAACUGGAGGAUAGCCCGGGGAAACUCGGAUUAAUACUCCAUAACACAGGGAUCCCGCAUGGGAAUAUUGUUAAAGCUACGGCGGUUGAAGAUGGGCAUGCGUUCGAUUAGCUAGUUGGUGUAGGUAACGGCUCACCAAGGCUACGAUCGAUAGGGGGUCUGAGAGGAUGAUCCCCCACACUAGUACUGAGAUACGGACCAGACUCCUACGGGAGGCAGCAGUAGGGAAUAUUGGUCAAUGGGCGCAAGCCUGAACCAGCCAUGCCGCGUGCAGGAAGAAGGCCCUCUGGGUUGUAAACUGCUUUUGAUAGGGAACAAAUGCCACUUGCGAGUGGAGCUGAGUGUACC
RNAcentral lists this ribosomal RNA (454 nucleotides) under uncultured bacterium. RNAcentral describes it as "bacterial SSU rRNA". It matches the Rfam family "Bacterial small subunit ribosomal RNA", at positions 28 to 479 of the family's 1533-position model. The record is from RNAcentral.